Molecule: ribosomal RNA, 481 nt
Filed under: uncultured bacterium
Lineage: Bacteria
Description: partial 16S ribosomal RNA
Rfam family: Bacterial small subunit ribosomal RNA
Source: RNAcentral
GAUGAACGCUGGCGGCGUGCUUAACACAUGCAAGUCGAACGAAGCAUUUAAGACAGAUUACUUCGGUUUGAAGUCUUUUAUGACUGAGUGGCGGACGGGUGAGUAACGCGUGGGUAACCUGCCUCAUACAGGGGGAUAGCAGCUGGAAACGGCUGGUAAUACCGCAUAAGCGCACAGUACCACAUGGUACAGUGUGAAAAACUCCGGUGGUAUGAGAUGGACCCGCGUCUGAUUAGCUUGUUGGCGGGGUAACGGCCCACCAAGGCGACGAUCAGUAGCCGACGUGAGAGGGUGACCGGCCACAUUGGGACUGAGACACGGCCCAGACUCCUACGGGAGGCAGCAGUGGGGAAUAUUGCACAAUGGAGGAAACUCUGAUGCAGCGACGCCGCGUGAGUGAAGAAGUAGUUCGCUAUGUAAAGCUCUAUCAGCAGGGAAGAUAGUGACGGUACCUGACUAAGAAGCUCCGGCUAAAUACGUG